This is a non-coding RNA of Arachis ipaensis, 702 nucleotides long. The record is from RefSeq and is a predicted model, not a curated record. Lineage: Eukaryota; Viridiplantae; Streptophyta; Magnoliopsida; Fabales; Fabaceae.
GAUUCGAAGCCCUAGCUCUCGCUCUUCUCUUGGCUUCAUUCUCACCGUUCCCAAUCACAUCUCCUUCGAUGACCUCAUUCGCUGGUGCGGGCCCCACCUCCACCAUCUCCACCGCCUCCUCUUCAUCAGAUUUUGUAGUGUGAUUUUUCAGGGAAGGUAUAGGUGAAAUAAAGAAGAUGGCUUUUCCAGGAGCAAAUGAAUCCAUGUCAGGAGCCCUUUAUUUACAAAAAGGAGAAGAUAUUCAAUCUGAAAGGCAUAGCUAUAAGCAAUAUACAAUUUAUUUACCAAAUAUAUUUAUAAACUAUGCUUCUUUCUGCCUUUCAUUCUUAGAUAUUGCUAAUAAUAUUAAUGCUUAAAGGGUCUCUUUGCAUUAUUGCAGUUGAGUAAUCCACUUGUAGAAUAUGCCACUGACUUCAAUUCAAGGGCUGAGUUUUUCUGGUCUCACAGAUUAAUAUCAGAUUCCCUUUUUACUUGAGUUUUUUUUUACUUAAGUUUUUUUGUUCCUUUUUACUUGAGUUUUUUUCCUUUCCUAUGGCCAAACAGAAAGAAAAUGAGAGCAUCGAUGUGUGCGUAGAUGACAAAGUUACAAAUUAUUUGAACGGAAGAGAUGUGCAGCAGGUGCUCCAUGCCAAGCUCAUUGGAGUUCGCAAGUGGGAUGUCUGCAACAAGUAAUCUUAUCAAACUUUGGACGAAUAAAGAAAA